Molecule: ribosomal RNA, 503 nt
Filed under: uncultured bacterium
Lineage: Bacteria
Description: bacterial SSU rRNA
Rfam family: Bacterial small subunit ribosomal RNA
Source: RNAcentral
GAUGAACGCUAGCGGCAGGCCUAAUACAUGCAAGUCGUACGGGAUAAGUUGUAGCAAUACGACUUUGAGAGUGGCGUACGGGUGCGUAACACGUAUGCAACCUACCUUUAACUGGGGGAUAGCCCGGAGAAAUUCGGAUUAAUACCCCAUAACAUAAUAACAGGGCAUCUUGUUAUUAUCAAAACUCCGGUGGUUAAAGAUGAGCCCGCGUAAGAUUAGCUUGUUGGUAGGGUAAUGGCCUACCAAGGCGACGAUCUUUAGCUGGUCUGAGAGGAUGAUCAGCCACACUGGGACUGAGACACGGCCCAGACUCCUACGGGAGGCAGCAGUGGGGAAUAUUGGACAAUGGGCGCAAGCCUGAUCCAGCAAUGCCGCGUGUGUGAAGAAGGCCUGCGGGUUGUAAAGCACUUUCAGUGGGGAAGAACAGAUUCGGGUCAAUACCCCGGAGCCCUGACGUUACCCACAGAAGAAGCACCGGCUAACUCCGUGCCAGCAGCCGCGGU